AUUGAACGCUGUCGGCAGGCCUCACACAUGCACGUCGAACGAGUGGCGGACGGGUGAGUAAUGUCUGGGACACUGCCUGAUGGAGGGGGAUAACUACUGGAAACGGUAGCUAAUACCGCAUACCCUCAGAGGUGCCCAUAUGGGAUUAUCUAGUUGGUGGGGUAACGGGUCACCAAGGCGACGAUCCCUAGCUGGUCUGAGAGGAUGACCAGGGAGACUGGAAAUGAGAGAAGGUACAGACGCCUACGGGAGGUAGCAGUGGGGAAUAUUGCACAAUGGGCGCAAGCCUGGUGCAGCCAUGCCGCGUGUAUGGAGAAGGCCUUCGGGUUGUAAAGUACUUUAAUCGGGGAGGCGUUACCCGGAGAAGAAGCACCGGCUAACUCCGUGCCAGCCGCCGCGGUAAUUC
RNAcentral lists this ribosomal RNA (406 nucleotides) under uncultured bacterium. RNAcentral's name for it is "partial 16S ribosomal RNA". It matches the Rfam family "Bacterial small subunit ribosomal RNA", at positions 30 to 526 of the family's 1533-position model. The record is from RNAcentral.